ACGAACGCUGGCGGCGUGCUUAACACAUGCAAGUCGAACGGAAAGGCCCUGCUUGCAGGGUACUCGAGUGGCGAACGGGUGAGUAACACGUGGGUGAUCUGCCCUGCACUUCGGGAUAAGCCUGGGAAACUGGGUCUAAUACCGGAUAGGAGCCAUUUUUAGUGUGAUGGUUGGAAAGUUUUUUCGGUGUAGGAUGAGCUCGCGGCCUAUCAGCUUGUUGGUGGGGUAAUGGCCUACCAAGGCGGCGACGGGUAGCCGGCCUGUGAGGGUGGACGGCCACACUGGGACUGAGAUGCGGCCCAGACUCCUACGGGAGGCAGCAGUGGGGAAUAUUGCACAAUGGGCGCAAGCCUGAUGCAGCGACGCCGCGUGGGGGAUGACGGCCUUCGGGUUGUAAACUCCUUUCGCGAGGGACGAAGCUUGUUGUGACGGUACCUAGAUAAGAAGCACCGGCUAACUACGUG
This 464-nucleotide ribosomal RNA is filed under the name uncultured bacterium. Its description in RNAcentral is "partial 16S ribosomal RNA". It matches the Rfam family "Bacterial small subunit ribosomal RNA", at positions 29 to 507 of the family's 1533-position model. The record is from RNAcentral.